CUCUGCCUGGUAGUGGGGGACAACGUUUCGAAAGGANCGCUAAUACCGCAUACGUCCUACGGGAGAAAGCAGGGGACCUUCGGGCCUUGCGCUAUCAGAUGAGCCUAGGUCGGAUUAGCUAGUUGGGUGGGGUAAUGGCUCACCAAGGCGACGAUCCGUAACUGGUCUGAGAGGAUGAUCAGUCACACUGGAACUGAGACACGGUCCAGACUCNUACGGGAGGCAGCAGUGGGGAAUAUUGGACAAUGGGCGAAAGCCUGAUCCAGCCAUGCCGCGUGUGUGAAGAAGGUCUUCGGAUUGUAAAGCACUUUAAGUUGGGAGGAAGGGCAGUAAGCUAAUACCUUGCUGUUUUGACGUUACCGACAGAAUAAGCACCGGCUAACUCUGUGCCAGCAGCCGCGGUAAUACAGAGGGUGCAAGCGUUAAUCGGAAUUACUGGGCGUAAAGCGCGCGUAGGUGGUUCGUUAAGUUGGAUGUGAAAGCCCCGGGCUCAACCUGGGAACUGCAUCCAAAACUGGCGAGCUAGNGGACAAGUAGAGGGUGGUGGAAUUUCCUGUGUAGCGGUGAAAUGC
Molecule: ribosomal RNA, 572 nt
Filed under: Pseudomonas sp. ICBR 192
Lineage: Bacteria; Pseudomonadati; Pseudomonadota; Gammaproteobacteria; Pseudomonadales; Pseudomonadaceae
Description: bacterial SSU rRNA
Rfam family: Bacterial small subunit ribosomal RNA
Source: RNAcentral